AAAGAUUAAGCCAUGCAUGUCUAAGUAUAAGCAAUCUAUACAGUGAAACUGCGAAUGGCUCAUUAAAUCAGUUAUCGUUUAUUUGAUAGUACCUUACUACUUGGAUAACCGUGGUAAUUCUGGAGCUAAUACAUGCUAAAAAUCCCGACCUCUGGAAGGGAUGUAUUUAUUAGAUAAAAAACCAAUGCCUUCGGGCUCCUUGGUGAUUCAUGAUAACUUUAUGAAUCGCAUGGCCUUGUGCCGGCGAUGGUUCAUUCAAAUUUCUGCCCUAUCAACUUUCGAUGGUAGGAUAGUGGCCUACCAUGGUUU
RNAcentral lists this ribosomal RNA (309 nucleotides) under uncultured fungus. Its description in RNAcentral is "SSU rRNA". It matches the Rfam family "Eukaryotic small subunit ribosomal RNA", at positions 39 to 352 of the family's 1831-position model. The record is from RNAcentral. Lineage: Eukaryota; Fungi.